This 771-nucleotide ribosomal RNA is filed under the name uncultured bacterium. RNAcentral's name for it is "bacterial SSU rRNA". It matches the Rfam family "Bacterial small subunit ribosomal RNA", at positions 8 to 796 of the family's 1533-position model. The record is from RNAcentral.
AGAGUUUGAUCCUGGCUCAGGACGAACGCUGGCGGCGUGCUUAACACAUGCAAGUCGAACGGAAAGGCCCUUCGGGGUACUCGAGUGGCGAACGGGUGAGUAACACGUGGGUGAUCUGCCCUGCACUUUGGGAUAAGCCUGGGAAACUGGGUCUAAUACCGAAUAUGACCAUGCACUUCCUGGUGUGUGGUGGAAAGCUUUUGCGGUGUGGGAUGGGCCCGCGGCCUAUCAGCUUGUUGGUGGGGUAAUGGCCUACCAAGGCGACGACGGGUAGCCGGCCUGAGAGGGUGACCGGCCACACUGGGACUGAGAUACGGCCCAGACUCCUACGGGAGGCAGCAGUGGGGAAUAUUGCACAAUGGGCGCAAGCCUGAUGCAGCGACGCCGCGUGAGGGAUGACGGCCUUCGGGUUGUAAACCUCUUUCAGCACAGACGAAGCGCAAGUGACGGUAUGUGCAGAAGAAGGACCGGCCAACUACGUGCCAGCAGCCGCGGUAAUACGUAGGGUCCGAGCGUUGUCCGGAAUUACUGGGCGUAAAGAGCUCGUAGGUGGUUUGUCGCGUUGUUCGUGAAAACUCACAGCUUAACUGUGGGCGUGCGGGCGAUACGGGCAGACUUGAGUACUGCAGGGGAGACUGGAAUUCCUGGUGUAGCGGUGGAAUGCGCAGAUACCAGGAGGAACACCGGUGACGAAGGCGGGUCUCUGGGCAGUAACUGACGCUGAGGAGCGAAAGCGUGGGGAGCGAACAGGAUUAGAUACCCUGGUAGUCC